This 113-nucleotide ribosomal RNA is filed under the name Castor canadensis (American beaver). The record is from RNAcentral. Lineage: Eukaryota; Metazoa; Chordata; Mammalia; Rodentia; Castoridae.
AGUUGUGGCUAUACCACUCUGAAUGUGCCCAAUCUUGUCCGGUCUCAGAAGCUAAGCAGGGUCUGGCCUGGUUAGUACUUGGAUGGGAGACAGAUCUUCAGAGGAGACUGUUC